GACGAACGCUGGCGGCGUGCCUAAUACAUGCAAGUCGAGCGCAGGAAACUGACGGAACUCUUCGGAGGGAAGGCAGUGGAAUGAGCGGCGGACGGGUGAGUAACACGUAAGGAACCCGCCUCAAGGAUUGGGAUAACUCCGAGAAAUCGGAGCUAAUACCGGAUAGUUCAACGGACCGCAUGGUCCGCUGAUGAAAGGCGCUCCGGCGUCACCUUGAGAUGGCCUUGCGGUGCAUUAGCUAGUUGGUGGGGUAACGGCCCACCAAGGCGACGAUGCAUAGCCGACCUGAGAGGGUGAUCGGCCACACUGGGACUGAGACACGGCCCAGACUCCUACGGGAGGCAGCAGUAGGGAAUCUUCCACAAUGGACGAAAGUCUGAUGGAGCAACGCCGCGUGAGUGAUGAAGGUUUUCGGAUCGUAAAACUCUGUUGUAAGGGAAGAACACGUACGAGAGGAAAUGCUCGUACCUUGACGGUACUUUACGAGAAAGCCACGGCUAACUACGUGCCAGCCGCCGCCGUAA
RNAcentral lists this ribosomal RNA (524 nucleotides) under uncultured bacterium. Its description in RNAcentral is "partial 16S ribosomal RNA". It matches the Rfam family "Bacterial small subunit ribosomal RNA", at positions 28 to 523 of the family's 1533-position model. The record is from RNAcentral.